CAGUAGCCGCGGGAAUACGUAGGUGGCAAGCGUUGUCCGGAAUUAUUGGGCGUAAAGCGCGCGUAGGCGGUUUUUUAAGUCUGAUGUGAAAGCCCACGGCUCAACCGUGGAGGGUCAUUGGAAACUGGAAAACUUGAGUGCAGAAGAGGAAAGUGGAGUUCCAUGUGUAGCGGUGAAAUGCGCAGAGAUAUGGAGGAACACCAGUGGCGAAGGCGACUUUCUGGUCUGUAACUGACGCUGAUGUGCGAAAGCGUGGGGAUCAAACAGGAUUAGAUACCCCAGUAGUCCCUGUCUCUUAUAC
RNAcentral lists this ribosomal RNA (301 nucleotides) under uncultured bacterium. RNAcentral's name for it is "partial 16S ribosomal RNA". It matches the Rfam family "Bacterial small subunit ribosomal RNA", at positions 509 to 807 of the family's 1533-position model. The record is from RNAcentral.